This 6683-nucleotide long non-coding RNA is filed under the name Sus scrofa (pig). RNAcentral describes it as "lncRNA (ENSSSCG00000060189.1)". The record is from RNAcentral. Lineage: Eukaryota; Metazoa; Chordata; Mammalia; Artiodactyla; Suidae.
GCCACACCCGCAGCAUAUGGAGGUUCCCAGGCUAGGGGUCAAAUCGGAGCUGUAGCCACUGGCCUACACCACAGCCACAGCCACACUGGAUCCUUAACCCCCUGAGCAAGGCCAGGGAUCAAACCUGCAACCUCAUGGUUCCUAGUCGGAUUCACUUCCACUGAGCCACAACCGGAACUCCAAAAUUGUCAACAUUUAACAUGCCUUUAUGCUAAAAACUCUUACCAAAGUGGGUAUAGAGACAACACAUCUCAACAUAGUCAAAGCCAUUUAUGACAAACCCACAGCCAGUAUAAUGAACUCAACGGAAAAAAAGCUGAAAGCCUUCCCACUAAAAUCUGGAACAAGACAAGGAGGCCCACUCUCACCACUUCUACUCAACAUAGUUUUGGAAGUCCUACUCACAGCACUCAAAAGAAAUAAAAGGUACCCAAUUUGGAAGAGACGAGGUAAAAUUGUCACUCUGCAGAUGACAUGAUACUAUAUAUAGAAAGGACGCCACACAGAAAGUACUUGAACUAAUCAAAGAAUUCAGCAAAUUAGCAGGAUACAAGAAUAACAUUCAGAAAUCGAUGGCAUGUCUGUAUAUAGCAAUGAAAUAUUAGAAAACGAAUGUUGAAAUACAAUACCUUUUAAAAUCAUACCCCCCAAAAUUAAAUGCCGUAGGAAUAAACCUGACCAAGGGGAUUCAGAGAAAUGGAAAGACAGCCCCUGCUUCUGGAUUGGAAGAAUUAAUAUCCUUAAAUUGGCCCUACUCCCCAGAGCAAUCUGCAGACAAUGCAAUCCCUACCAAAUUACCCAUGACUUUUUUUUUUUUUUUUUAACAGAACUAGAAUGAACAAUCCAAAAAUUAGGGGACCAAAGCAAUCUGGGGAGGCGGGUGGUGGCGGGGAGCAGGAGGCAUAACUCUUCCAGACUUCAGACAAUAUUACAAAGCUACAGUAAUCGAGGCAGUGUUUACAAAAAGACAGACCAGUGGAACAGCAUGGAGAGCCCAGAAGUAAACCCAGACAAUUCAUCUUGGACAAAGGAGGCAAAAAUAUAAAACAGGAACAAGUCUCUUCAGCAAGUGGUGCUGGGAAAGCUGGACAGGUGCAUGUCCAUCAAUGAAGCUAGAAGACACCCUCACAGCAUGCCCCAAAAUAAACUCCAAAUGGCUUAAAGAAUUAAUAAGCGACACCAUAAAACUCCCAGAAAAUAACACAGGCAAAAUAUUCUCCGACAAACCAUACAAAUGUUUUUUUAGGUCAGUCUCCCCAGGCAAUAGAGAUAAAAAUAAACCAGUGGGACCUAAUCAAACUUACUAGCUUUUGCACAGCAAAGGAAACCAUAAAAACAAAAACCCCUACAGAAUGGGAGAAAAUAAUUGCAAAAGAUGUAACUGACAAGAGCUUCAUCUCCAAAAUACACAAACAACUCAUACAACUCAAUAGCAAAAAACCGAAACAACCCAACUGAAAAAUGAGCAGAAGACCUAAAUAGACAUUUCUCCAAAGAAGACCUAAGGAUGGGCAACAGGCACCUUAAAAGAUGCCCAGCACCACGAAUUAUUAGAGAAAUGCAAAUCGAAACUACGAGCUACCACCUCGUAGUUAGGAUGGCUAUAACUAAUGAGUCUACAAAUUAAAAAUGCAGGUUCCCAUCAUGGCUCAGCGGAAACUAUCUGGCGAGGAUCCAUGAGGAUGCAGGUUCAAUCCCUGGCCUUGCUCAGUGGGUUAAGGAUCCAAUGUUGCUGUGAACUGUGGUGUUGAUCACAGAUGUGGCUCGGAUCUGGCAUUGCUGUGGCUGUGGCGUAGGACGAAGGCUGCAGCUCCGAUUGGACCCCUAGCCUGGCAACUUCCAUGUGCCAAGAGUGCAGCCCUGAAAAAGACAAAAAUAAAAAAAAAUUAAAAAAUAAAAAUGCUGGAGAGGGUGUAGAGAAAAGGGAACCCUCCUACACUGUUGGUGGGAAUGUAAAUUGGUACAACCACUAUGGAAAACAGUAUGGAGGUACCUCAGAAAACUAAAUAUAGAAAUACCCUAUGAUCCAGCAACCCACUCCUAGGCACGUAUCCAGACGAAAUUUGCUUUUGAAAAGAUAAAUGCACCCCUAUGUUCAGGGCAGCACUCUUCACAACAGCCAAGUCAUGGAAACCACCUAAAUGUCCACCAACAGAUGAAUGGAUUUAGAAGAUGUGGUACGUAUACACACAACGGAAUACUACUCAGUCAUGAAAAGAACAAGAUAAUGUCAUUUGCAGCAACAUGGAUGCAGCCAGAGAUUCUCAUCCUAAGUGACGUUAACUCAGAGAAAGACCAUUACCAUAUGAUAUCACUUACAUGUGGGGUCUAAAAUGUGGCACACAUGAGCCUGUAUCUAUAUAAACUGACUGACUCAUGGACACAGAACAGACUUGUGGUUGCCGAGGGGGAGGGGCUGGGAGUUUGGGGUUAGUAGAUGGGGACUUAAAUUUCCAGCGGGUCAGCAAUGAGGUCCUGCCGCACAGCACAGGGACCGGGAUAGGACAUGAGAGACGAUGACAGGAGCAAAAGAAGAUACACACACGUAUAACUGGGUCACUUUGCUGUACAGAAAUUGACAGAAUAUUGUAGGUCAACCAUAAUUUAAAAAAUUAAAAGAAACGGCUUUGGAUGAAGGUCGUCCAAAGAUACAAACUUGCAGCUGUCAGAUGAAGUCCUCGAGCUGCAACACACAACACGGUAAACGUAGCUAACGCUGCGCAGCGCGAGGCAUCGGAGUGGUUAAGAGGGUGAAUGCUAAGAGUGUGUCACAAGGAAAAAGUCCUUUAAUUCUCUGCCCGUGAGACUGAGCUGUGACGACCAUCUCACGAGGCGCCGCAGUGCGCUCAUCAUCCCGGAGCCUUACACUCACACGGGGCCGCCUGUCAGUUGUCUCAAUGAAACUGGGCGAGGAAAAGGGAAAACAAGAGCGAGAAAUGAGGAUCAAGGGGCCACUUGGUGUCAAGUCUCCAAAGCGGGCCCGGUCACACCCUGCUCCAGGCCACCUCGAGCCUUAAAGACGGCGCCGCAGAAACGGUGGCCUGGGGCAGACGCGGUCGCCGCACGUUUGCCGGGGAACACACACGGCAACUCCGGAGAGACCGAACAGCUUGCAGCAUCAGCGAUGACGCUCCCCGAACUCCAGCAGCGAGACCGGGUGCUGCGCUGCUGAAAUCCUAACGCACGCAGACAGGGGCCCGCGUCCCCGUAAGACAGAGUCUGCUCCAGCCGGUCUGGGGCCGGCCCAUUCCUGACAUGCUGCAGCGGCUGCUCCGGGGACGGCCCUUGGCACGGAGCCCGUCCUAAGCCACCGCGGCAGCGGCGGAAGGAACCGUGUGGCCGCACAGGACUGUCCCGCCGAUGCCGCGUCGGCCUCGUGCGCACGCGCACGUGGCCGUGUGGCGUCAGAACCGGAAGGUAAACGAGCAACGGGAGCACGUGGAUUUGUUGACGUGAGGAGACGUUGAGAAAAUGUCAGUUUUAAAGUCCUCCUGUGCGGGUAGAACAUACAGUUUUUUUUAAAAGUACGUGAUCCAGACAGUGGGCUGCUGAAUUGCGCUGCUUAGAGUCUAUGCCCCAAAAGGAUGAUUUAGAACCCGCUUGUUCGAGAACUGUAGCUUCAUGAGAAAAGCCUGGAUGCUGACCCAGUUCAGAGGGGCUGAAGCUCUUAGGAUGAUUUAAGCAGGAAGCGCUUCGGUCAGUAGGGCCUCUUCAGCAGUGUCACGGGAGCGGAAGGUCGCCGUCCUGCAGAGCCGGCCGCCGGCUGCUGUGGGGCUCUGGUGGCCUCUCUGCAGCCCGGGGCUGGCCGUCUUGCAGUGACCCAGGCUGCUUCCUGAACAGGGGGUCACCCAGCUCUAAGGGUAAGCCCCUUAGGUUGCAGGGUUGUUUUAGGACCCGGCAGCAUCAUUGAGUCAGCAGGGAAGUUGCUGGGGCCACUUUGAAGGGCAUGCAGUCCUCUGAGUGCAGAAGCUCUGGCUUAUUCGAGACACAGGUGCUUUUUUGGUCUUUUUUUUUUUUUUUUUUUAGGGUCACAUGCACAGCAUAUGCAAGUUCCCAGGUUAGGGGUCAGAUUGGAGCUGCAGCCACUGGCCUACACCACAGCCACGCAAGAUCCGAGCCACACCUGCGACCUACACCACGGCUCACGGCAGCGCCAGAUCCUUAACCCAAGGAGCGAGGCCAGGGAUCGAACCUGGGUCCUCACGGAUACUAGUUGGGUUCAUAACCCGCUCAGCCACAGCAGGACCUCCCUUGAGACACAGUAUUAACUUGACUUUACAGCCAAGCCCUGCUGCAUCACGGGCCAGGCCUGCAAGCUGGCGCAUCAACCCUGAAGCCGUCUCCCUGACAGGCGGCCCAUGUGGGACAGUGGAGCACAUUGAUGUGCCGUCUGGCCACAGGCAGACACGCUUGGGGGCACGUGCAAACAGGCUCGGGGGCAGCAGCCAGCCCCCAACAGACCAGCUGCACCAUCACUGGCUGGUAGGACACACUUGAGUCUCAAGAAAAGCUCCAAGUUCAAGGUUAAAUAGUAACGAUGAUAGCCAGGACGCAGUUUUGACAUUUCCAGCUUCCAAAGCGCCUUCCUGUAUGUGAUCUGAUCACAGCUCCCCCAUAACCUUCAAGGCAAGUGACAGUGCACCAUCUGAUAGACCAAAGACUGAGGUUCAUCGAGUUGCCAUGAAGUGCCCAGCUUCUCACAGGUGGGAAGAGAGGAGGGCGUCCGGGUAGAAUAAAAGCACUUUUUCUAAUCUAGAUCCUUCUCUGUUUUUACUUUUUUAGCACUGAGUUUAAAAAUAAAGAUGCUAAUAGAACUCCUUUUGCAUAAACGAAGGAGUUGAAAACAAUAAAUUAAAACCUUCUCUGAAGUUAUUUUGGUAACUUCAAAGUCUAUUUCAAAAUAUAUUAAAAAGUAUGGAGUUCCCGUUGUGGUGCAGUGGUUAACGAAUCCGACUAGGAACCAUGAGGUUGCAGGUUCGAUCCCUGGCCUCGUUCAGUGGGUUAGGGAUCCACAGUUGCCGUGAGCUGAGAGGUGGGUCGCAGAUGCGGCUCGGAUCCUGCGUUGCUGUGGCUGUGGUGUAGGCUGGCGGCUACAGCUCCGAUUCGAUGCCUAGCCUGGGAACCUCCAUGUGCUGCGGGAGCGGCCCAAGAAAUGGCCAAAAGACAAAAAAAAAAACGUCCCCGUGGUGUCCCUUCCCACCCCAAAGCCUGCGUGUUGUGCUCAGCCUGUGUGCAAGUGCCAGGAUGACAUUGACGUCUUUAAUAACGUGAGAACCUGGCCAACUUCCAGCGCACCUGGUCACCCAGAAGCAGCUCGUGGAACUCCAGAAGGUGUGGCUUCUGCUGCUUCAUAGACGCACACAUGUCACUGAGGGAAGCCACACCUCGGUGGCCAGGCCCCAGGAGGCGAGGGGCGGGGGAGGAACCUGGAAAGAGAGCCCCAAAGGGCUGGUCCUCAGCCUGGCGUCUGCAUGAUGUCCACCAGAGGGCGCCAUGGGCCAGCAGAUGCACACACACCGCUCCGGCCACAGAAAAACUCCUGCACCGCUGGCCUCCUGCGGCCAAGCUGCACAUUCCCUGAACACCUACUAUGUGCCGGCGAGGCCUCUGCCCUCAAGAAACACACAUACAAGAAGUUAAAUGCAUACUUAUACACUGUGCUUCGUGCUGUAGCAGAACAGAGCAGUGGGGAGAGGGAACAUCGGGGUGAAUAUAUGAAGAGGGGGAAUCUGGGAGGAGUCUCUGGGGAGAGUUCUAGUCUCUUCACCGCUGACUCGGGAUCAGAGCUGGUUAACACCAGAGAAUGCUGGGUUAGAAUGCCGGUGAAGUUCCUGGGGCUCAGCCUCCCAGGCUCAAAGCUGCUCAAAGGUUAGCGUGCACGCACACACAAAGGUCACGGGCCCAGUGGGCAGAGGUGCCCCUGAAGGUUCCCUAAAGACAGGCUGACCGUCCCCCCCAAGCCCAGGGCAAAUCACAGACACCCGAAGAUCAGGAGCGUCAUAGACCUUUCCCUCAGGACGGGCUGCUGGGCCCUUUGUGGGAGCAGGGGUGGCACCUGCUGCCACCCCAGGGGGUGCAGAGGUGAGGCCUCAAGUGGCGGGAGAGGCCCGCGCAUGGCCUGUCUCUGGCCUUAGCCUGGGUGACGCCUUGCCAUCUGGGCAGCAGGGGACACUCACUGGGUGGCCUUGCAGGCUAGCUGGUAGGCAGGGGCUUCUGCCCAGUGCCCCAGAAACUCAGUGCCCAGGAAGCCUCCGUGAGGGUCACUCUAUGGGCAGGUGUGGCUUUCAGCCUGAGCAACUGUGAAAUAUGAUUCAAAGAGCCGGACAGGCUGCAGUUCCCAUCCCUGCCACCUCCCAGCUGUGUGGCCUGGGACAAACGCCUUCACCUCUCUGGGCCUCAGGUGCCUCAUCUUUAGAAUGACACAACAGGGAGUUCCCGUCGUGGCGCAGCGGAAACAAAUCUGGCUAGGAACCAUGAGGUUGUGGGUUCGACCCCUGGCCUCGCUUCAUGGGUUAAGGAUCCGGUGUUGCCGUGAGCUGUGGUGUAGGUCACAGACGUGGCUCGAUUCUCGUGUUGCUGUGGCUGUGGCGUAGGCUGGCCACUGUAGCUCCGAUUCGACCCCUAGCCUGGGAACCUCCAUAUGCCACGGGUGUGGCCCUAAAAAGACAAAAAGACAAAAAAAA